GAGCGCACCUUCGGGUGAGCGGCGGACGGGUUAGUAACGCGUGGGAACAUACCCUUUGGUACGGAAUAGCCUCUGGAAACGGAGAGUAAUACCGUAUGAGCCCUUCGGGGGAAAGAUUUAUCGCCAAAGGAUUGGCCCGCGUUAGAUUAGGUAGUUGGUGGGGUAAUGGCCUACCAAGCCUACGAUCUAUAGCUGGUUUUAGAGGAUGAUCAGCAACACUGGGACUGAGACACGGCCCAGACUCCUACGGGAGGCAGCAGUGGGGAAUCUUGGACAAUGGGGGCAACCCUGAUCCAGCCAUGCCGCGUGAGUGAUGAAGGCCUUAGGGUCGUAAAGCUCUUUCGCCUGUGAAGAUAAUGACGGUAGCAGGUAAAGAAACCCCGGCUAACUCCGUGCCAGCAGCCGCGGUAAUACGGAGGGGGUUAGCGUUGUUCGGAAUUACUGGGCGUAAAGCGCACGUAGGCGGACUGGAAAGUUGGGGGUGAAAUCCCAGGGCUCAACCCUGGAACUGCCUCCAAAACUAUCAGUCUAGAGUUCGAGAGAGGUGAGUGGAAUUCCGAGUGUAGAGGUGAA
This 573-nucleotide ribosomal RNA is filed under the name bacterium PII.11. Its description in RNAcentral is "bacterial SSU rRNA". It matches the Rfam family "Bacterial small subunit ribosomal RNA", at positions 64 to 685 of the family's 1533-position model. The record is from RNAcentral.